GAAACGCUUCCUUCAAGUACCAAAAAUUUUAUUGCAUCUCGAACAAUUUCCUCUACUACAGAGAAUCCCAUUAUAACUACUCCAAAAGAAAAUACAACACCCAAAGCACCAGUUGUAGAAAUUCCAUCUACAAUAUCUUCUAUACCAAGAACAAG
This is a non-coding RNA of Anolis sagrei ordinatus, 155 nucleotides long. The record is from RefSeq and is a predicted model, not a curated record. NCBI's taxonomy places the organism in Eukaryota, Metazoa, Chordata, Lepidosauria, Squamata, Anolidae.